Molecule: ribosomal RNA, 611 nt
Filed under: Camptylonemopsis sp. SJILZ10
Lineage: Bacteria; Bacillati; Cyanobacteriota; Cyanophyceae; Nostocales; Nostocaceae
Also listed under: 1 other name
Description: bacterial SSU rRNA
Rfam family: Bacterial small subunit ribosomal RNA
Source: RNAcentral
UAGCUGCACUAAAUACCGGAUGUGCCUAAGGGUGAAAGAUUUAUUACCUGAAGAUGAGCUCGCGUCUGAUUAGCUAGUUGGUGGGGUAAGAGCUUACCAAGGCAACGAUCAGUAGCUGGUCUGAGAGGAUGAUCAGCCACACUGGGACUGAGACACGGCCCAGACUCCUACGGGAGGCAGCAGUGGGGAAUUUUCCGCAAUGGGCGAAAGCCUGACGGAGCAAUACCGCGUGAGGGAGGAAGGCUUUUGGGUUGUAAACCUCUUUUCUCAAGGAAGAAUAAAUGACGGUACUUGAGGAAUCAGCAUCGGCUAACUCCGUGCCAGCAGCCGCGGUAAUACGGAGGAUGCAAGCGUUAUCCGGAAUGAUUGGGCGUAAAGCGUCCGCAGGUGGUGAUGCAAGUCUGCUGUUAAAGAGUGAGGCUCAACCUCAUAAUGGCGGUGGAAACUGCGUGACUAGAGUACGUUCGGGGCAGAGGGAAUUCCUGGUGUAGCGGUGAAAUGCGUAGAUAUCAGGAAGAACACCGGUGGCGAAAGCGCUCUGCUAGGCCGUAACUGACACUGAGGGACGAAAGCUAGGGGAGCGAAUGGGAUUAGAUACCCCAGUAGUCAAG